AACGAACGCUGGCGGCAGGCUUAACACAUGCAAGUCGAACGGGCCCUUCGGGGUCAGUGGCAGACGGGUGAGUAACACGUGGGAACGUGCCCUUCAGUUCGGAAUAACCCAGGGAAACUUGGGCUAAUACCGGAUACGCCCCUUGGGGGAAAGAUUUAUCGCUGAAGGAUCGGCCCGCGUCUGAUUAGCUAGUUGGUGAGGUAAAGGCUCACCAAGGCGACGAUCAGUAGCUGGUCUGAGAGGANGAUCAGCCACACUGGGACUGAGACACGGCCCAGACUCCUACGGGAGGCAGCAGUGGGGAAUAUUGGACAAUGGGCGCAAGCCUGAUCCAGCCAUGCCGCGUGAGUGAUGAAGGCCUUAGGGUUGUAAAGCUCUUUCGGC
This 384-nucleotide ribosomal RNA is filed under the name uncultured bacterium. Its description in RNAcentral is "bacterial SSU rRNA". It matches the Rfam family "Bacterial small subunit ribosomal RNA", at positions 29 to 440 of the family's 1533-position model. The record is from RNAcentral.